RNAcentral lists this long non-coding RNA (451 nucleotides) under Panicum hallii. RNAcentral describes it as "long non-coding RNA (PHAL_LNC000526)". The record is from RNAcentral. Lineage: Eukaryota; Viridiplantae; Streptophyta; Magnoliopsida; Poales; Poaceae.
UCAAAUCAAAACUUCAUUGCUGAGAGCCAUGUUGCAUCCAGCUCUCAAGCCUGGGAGCUAGAUGAGUCGCAUAGAAUAUGCCUAGUAGUCAGUGGCGCCAGCCCCCGAGCCUAGGUAUUGGCCAAGUUGCCGCUAAAUCUUGUACUGUUGAUGAAGCGACUAGUUGGAGUCGAUUCCGACUAGUUUUAUAGGCGAGACGAGUAGUCGAAGUAGUCACCAACGUAUCACCAAGGAGAGUCGAUUCUGACUAGCUUGUGGGCGAAACAAGUAGUUGAAGUAGUCGCCAGCGUGUCGCCGUGCAUUCUUCAGGAAGUCCAGUAGUCGCCGACGUUUGUUGAUGGACCCAACUAGUUGAAGUCGAAUCCGACGAGUAGUCGUUGUAGUCAGCAAGAUGUAGUCGAUCAUUCUCACAAAAUCGGAGUAGUCGUUGGCAAUUGUUGAUGAAGCCAAC